AAAAUAUUUAAUAAUUUGUUUAUACGAAGGAACGGCUCCGAUUAUGUGGUCUAAAAAGGAUUGGGCUUCUUAUCUGUUAGGUCUGGGCCCAAAUCAUAUAGCCCAUAGACCUACCUUCACAAUUUGGAAACCCUAAUAUCGUCAGGCUAGAUUCUCUUACGUCCCCUGUCAACUGCAACCGGAGACUUUACUUUCUGUAGGCAUUCAUGGGAGGCAAGCUGAAGAAGAGCGAAAACGAAGCCAUGGCUGAAUACGAAAACGACGUUGAGUUAGAUACCAGCGAUAAAAAGAGAGAUAAGAGGAAGAAGAAGAAUAAAGAGGGAGAGGAGAAGAGGGAGAUACUUCCAUCGAUGAUAAAGAACAAGGAGAAGAGAUCAGUCGUUCAUGCUAAGCUCAAGCACUUGAAGAAGGUUGAGAAGCGAAAGAAGCUCAAGG
RNAcentral lists this unclassified non-coding RNA (435 nucleotides) under Hevea brasiliensis (rubber tree). The record is from RNAcentral. Lineage: Eukaryota; Viridiplantae; Streptophyta; Magnoliopsida; Malpighiales; Euphorbiaceae.